UAGGGAAUCUUCGGCAAUGGACGAAAGUCUGACCGAGCAACGCCGCGUGAGUGAAGAAGGUUUUCGGAUCGUAAAACUCUGUUGUUAGAGAAGAACAAGGACGUUAGUAACUGAACGCCCCCUGACGGUAUCUAACCAGAAAGCCACGGCUAACUACGUGCCAGCAGCCGCGGUAAUACGUAGGUGGCAAGCGUUGUCCGGAUUUAUUGGGCGUAAAGCGAGCGCAGGCGGUUUCUUAAGUCUGAUGUGAAAGCCCCCGGCUCAACCGGGGAGGGUCAUUGGAAGCUGGGAGACUUGAGUGCAGAAGAGGAGAGUGGAAUUCCAUGUGUAGCGGUGAAAUGCGUAGAUAUAUGGAGGAACACCAGUGGCGAAGGCGGCUCUCUGGUCUGUAACUGACGCUGAGGCUCGAAAGCGUGGGGAGCAAACAGG
RNAcentral lists this ribosomal RNA (429 nucleotides) under Chloroflexota bacterium. Its description in RNAcentral is "Chloroflexi bacterium partial 16S ribosomal RNA". It matches the Rfam family "Bacterial small subunit ribosomal RNA", at positions 355 to 776 of the family's 1533-position model. The record is from RNAcentral. Lineage: Bacteria; Bacillati; Chloroflexota.